Long non-coding RNA from Hemicordylus capensis (graceful crag lizard), 5249 nucleotides. RefSeq lists it as uncharacterized. Lineage: Eukaryota; Metazoa; Chordata; Lepidosauria; Squamata; Cordylidae. The record is from RefSeq and is a predicted model, not a curated record. The transcript has 4 exons.
CCUUUUGGUUGGGGAGAUGGGGUUAACUGGCCGUCUCGUGGUUGUGUGUGUGUGUAUUUGGGGGUUUCUUUCUCUGCCCCCUCCCCACCCUCCAAACUCUUCCACCCCAUGUUAUUUUUCUGUGGCUAGAUAUUGUUGCUGUGUCCUGCGUCAGACCAAUGGAAUGAAGGUACAGGUUGUAAAAUGUCACUGCGUAGUUAUAAUGCAGAUUCAGGGAGAGAGGGAAGAGAGAACAGUAGUUUUGCAGAGGUUAUAAUCUAAUACCACCCUCCCUUCUUCACUUUUUACAGUUGGCACAUCAAGGAGUUGGCAAAAGGGUUAACAAGACUCUCUUAAUGUUUAAAUCUGAAAGGCUGUAUCUGCAUAGUUUAGAAAGUGGUAAAUGAUGACGCAGUGAUCUUUGCCUGGCAUGUUAUUAAGCUUAACAAGCAUCAAGGGGGACAGGUACACUCUGGCUCCCCAGACCAGCUGAAAGAGUCUGAGUUAAGAAGGGCAGAUAGCAUUUAGGCAUUAAAUGUCAUCAUUUUGGCGUUGGAAAGUUGUUUACCUUGCUCUCUCCGUGUCUCCAUGUUGGCAGUCUUCCAGCUCACAUGUGAUAGUCUUCCCUGUACUGCUGCAUCAUUAACUGAGUGUCUGAGCCUGCACAUGAUUGGCUGGGGAGGGCUCUCAUUCUAAACAUACAUUUCCAUUGGAGGCAGAGGCAGUGGCAGGUGAAAAGCUGCCUUGGAUUGGCUGAGUCUGGGAUAUCAAAUCUAAAUGUGCCGUUCCCCUUUCUUUAAAAGGGGCUUUGAACAGUUUGUGACUUAAAAUAUCGGCUGUUUGCUUCCCCCUCCCUUCUCCCUUACAGCAGGCAUUGUGGAAUGUGUCUGUGUUCUAGGAGCUUGUCAUUUAAAGAGAAAAGUAAAAAAAAAGCAGGAACUUGACAAUUGUGGAUUAGUUUAGUUUAUUACUGGUGCAAGUGACGCAGAAGGAAAAACAAAUAUUCUGUGACUCGAGUUGCAUCAGUGACAGGCGUGUUUCCGGCUGCUGUGAGACAAGCCACGAUGACGUGACAUUAUUAUAGGCUUCAGAGGAGACAACAAAAAGAGACUUUUGUGGGUGUCUACCUCUGCCUAGUACUCUGUCUUCUCAAGUGUUGUUUCAAGAUGUAUACCUACCAACAAGCUUUAAAACCCUGGGAAAAGGUGGAGAAGCUUAGUCUGCUUUUCACAUUUGCUAGCUCCAGGGGGAAAGAGUAAUAACCAGGAAGCCAUUUCUGGAAAGAGAGACAGACAUGAUGCGUGAAGCAAGGAAAGCAGGGAGACUCGGCAAAUGAACCCCUCCCAUCUCAACACUUUGUACGCACCUUCGUUUUCCCUUUCUCUUCUCUUUUACCAAAUGUUAUGCUUUAUUUGGAAUGCUUUAAUUGUAGGUGCAUUACUUUCUCUCUCUUUUCUCCCCCCCCCCGGCCCGGUGUGAGUCCUUGCUCUGCAGAGCAGUCUCCUCCGGAGGCAGUCUUGCAUCCUGCAGUGCUAGUUCCGCAGAGGAGGGCAACAGGAGACACAACUAUGGUGGCUGCUCCAGUGAAGGGAUGGACUCAGUGCCAGGAUCGUACUUGUUCGUGGCAGGAGCAGGGAGAAUACAUGCAGCUGGCAGUGCCUUGCUCUUGGAUAAUCAUAGAUGAGAUGCCCGAACAGGCCCUGAUUUGGAGAGAACAAUGCUGAACAGCAGAAACCUCAUCCCUUCUAGCUCUAGCUGUUGUUUUCUGGUCCUUGGUACCUUCUACACCUGAUGCGGCUGGCUAUAGUUUGAGGAUGAAUUCUGAAAAGGAAAGUCAUCAAGAAUCCUUACUGAAGUAAAUAAAUUUAAGGAAAAGAGAUGUUGCAGAUUCCAGGUCAAUUUUGCUCAUCUGGUUUCAUAUGACUGAAUUAUAGAUAUCUGAUCCAAAGAUGACUUUCUUCACCACUAGUAAGUAUGAAACAUGGAGUUUACACCUUAGUAAUACAUAGACAAUGCUAUCCACAAAAUAAAUAUGCAGUGACUGACAUGACGGACAUAUAUUCUGGCAACAAACAGUGCUUUUUCAGGGAGAGAAGUAAAAAAUUGCUUCCUUAUCUCCCGCACUCCCAGAUCUGCCCUACCCAUCAAGCCUGCAGCAUAACUACUCUGAAGGUUCCCUGCUUCAACACAGCUCUGAUCCUGUCAAUGAAUCCCUGCCCAUCAUGUCAGCCAACAAAGUUAACGCAUGCAAUUUAUAGAUUGCAGUCUAAAUAUUUUUUAUUUAGGAUACUAUCAUAACAUGAUGGAGAGAAGGAAUAAUUGAUUGGAAUCUGCUGCUUCUACUCAUGGGAUCAGAAGAAAAGACAGCAGGAAUUGAUUACAAAGCAAUUGAAACAGUCAUCAUAAUGUAUAACUUUUAUCACACUGAUCAAGAUGCCAUGAAAAAUUAAGAGACAUAGCCCUAUGGUGAAUUUACAAAAUUAUUAAGAAAUCUAUGUACUCAGAGAAAACAUAUUUGAUUUGCAGAAACACACACACACAAAUGAUAUGAUCAAUACACCAGGAAGGAGUUAUGGUAAUAAUGCUCAAAUUUUUUAAUACCAAUAAAUUGUAGAAAUGUCCAUUAAUAUGCAAUGAGUGAGCAAGAUUAACUACUUAGAACAGAAGAAAAGGUCAUUCACACAUAGUGGUUAGAGUGCUGGAUUAGGAACGGGGAGACCUGAUUUUAAAUCCCCAUUCAAUCAUGAAACUCACUGGGUGACUCUGGGCCAGUCAUGUAUCUCUCAGCCUAACCUACCUCACAGGGUUGUUGUGAGGAUAAACAUAACCUCUUGGCUCCUUUGAGGAAAAGCAGGAUACAUGUAAAAAUAAAAUAAAAUAAAAUAGUUUCUGGUGGCUAGGAAGGGCUGGGGUGGGGUGGAGCCAAGAUUAUACCUGCCUUCCUCCACACGACCACAGGGAUCCUCUCACUGUGCUGCUUGGCUGCACACACAAGCAGCAAGGCAAGCAGCACGGCAUUCUGGAGGCUGGGGAAACACAUCUUGGCCCCCACAAAUCCCACGAUGCACGGUGCAAGGAUCACGGUGCAUUGAAAGAUUUCCCCACAGUCUGCUCAGGCUGCAGGCAGCCCAAGCAGACACACAAUGGGGGACCAGGGUGGAAGGGCACACUUGUGCCCUUAUACCUUGGUAAUAGCCCUCGGCGGGGUGGGGGAGACCUCGGGCUACCCAACAGGGCAGCACCACAAUUGGGAUUGAUCCCGUCACUCCACAUGAACAGCCCUACCCUGUAGGGCUGUGCAAGCCUGAGUAGGGCUUCUUGUGUGAACAGCCUUGAACAGUUUUGUACAGAGAUCAAUAUUACUUAGUAUUGGUCUACGUUAACUGGCAGUGGGCCUCCAGGGUUUCAGAUCAGGGUCUUUCCCAGCCCUACCUGGAGAGUCAGAAGUUACAUCUGGAACUUCUGCAUGGAAAGCAUAUGCUCUACCCUGCAGCUACAGCAAAACUGAUCUACUUGAUUCAUUUUUGCGCUAUAGUCCUGAAACUUACAAAAUGGGUUUUAUUCAGGACUAUUGUCCUUAAAUAUAUAAAAUGCUGUAACCUUCACUUGGAAGAGAGAACCUGAUCCUGUCUGCAUGCACUAAAGAGAUGGCAGAAGGGCUGUUGCCUGAUUUUUGUGCAGAAAACGCAAAGGACAUGGAGCAUGAUAUGAUGGACAGUGCACCAUCAGCAGCACAGGUACUUCAGUGGCCGAUAUUUUAAAGGAACAUAUUUCUGCUUUUGCGAACAAGCCAGGCAGAAUCACUCUAGCUACUCAUCAAAUCCUCAGUUAGAAUGCAACACCUAUGGUUUCUGGUUCCUACCAAGCAACAGGAAAACAUGCCAUGUGUUUUACAUGAGAAAUAGAUCAUGUACUGGCUCUGGAUGGACAGGGUCUUGUGGCAGCAAGCAUGACUUGUCCCCUUAGCUAAGCACGGUCCACCCUAGUGGCAUAUGAAUGGGAGACUAGAAGUGUGGGCACUGUAAGAUAUUCCCCUCAGGGGAUGGAGCUGUUCUGGGAAGAGCAGAAGGUUUCAAGUUCCCUCCCUGGCUUCUCCAAGAUAGGGCUGAGAAAGAUUCUUGCUGUCAACCUUGGAGAAGCCGCUGCCAGUCUGCGUAGACAAUACUGAGCUAGAUGGACCUAUGGUCUGACUCAGUAUAUGGCAGCUUCCUAUGUUCCUAUGGAUGCAAUAGUCUACUAUGGUACAAAUAGUGGACUCUGCUACAGGGGCUGUGCUGCUCUAAACUGGAUCCAGUGGAGUGCUACAUUCUGUGGUGUCCCUUUCCUCUGUUAGCAGCUUCUUACCACAGGAGCUUUAUCAAGGUAGGAAAAACGUCUAUUAUGUGGGCAUUUAGCUAACUAAAACAAACUAAAACUAAACUUGUGCGGUAGCUCUAGUUUGAAGCUUCCGAGGUGUGAUCUUCUGAGUACAUUCUGAGUACCCAGAAUGUUGGGGGCAAUAUGCUAAAUCAUUGUAAACCGCUUAGAGAGCUCCGGCUAUAGAGCGGUAUAUAAAUGUAAGUGCUAUUGCUAUUGCUAUUCUCAUGCAGGACUUUAACUUGUAUGUUAAAAACCAUUUUUUAAAAGCAGCAUAUACUGCCAUUGCAGAUGCUCUGCAUUCCAGUAAUGUACCCUAUACUUAAGCACUUGCAGUCGUUAACAUGUUACUGGGUGCCCAGCUGCCUAACAGUGGAAGUUAUUUACGUUUUAGUGGCUAAAUAGCUUUGUACUAGCUAUUUAGUACAACUAAGUAGCUACUUACCACCCAGAAUAUUUAUCAAGAGUAUUAGUGCUCUUGUCAGGAGGAAGUGUGUUUGCAUCGAGAUUUCUUUUUGCAUGGUGUUUUGAUCAUUUAAUAUGCACUCAUGCACAUUGGUAACCAAUCAGCAAAUAAGAGGAAAAGCCCUCUGCUAACCGAGCAAAGAGGCUUUAUUUAAUGUGGUGAUUCUCUUUAUUGAGCCGAUGAAGUGCAACUGGCCCUAUCCAUCCCCAGCACAGCAUCCCUCCAGUGGCUGUUGCUGGUGUCUGCCUUAUGUUUCUUUUUUUAGAUUGUGAGCCCUUUGAGGACAGGAAGCCAUUUUAUUUAUAUCUAUGUAAACCACUUUGGGAACUUUGGUAGAAAAGUGGUAUAUUAAUAUUUGUCAUAUUUGUAUGAAAACUAUGGAAAAUUGUACAUGUACAGUGGUCUGAACAAGGUUUGGAUAUUAAACUGACUAUUGUUAGAUCACUAA